Molecule: ribosomal RNA, 461 nt
Filed under: bacterium MB2009
Lineage: Bacteria
Description: bacterial SSU rRNA
Rfam family: Bacterial small subunit ribosomal RNA
Source: RNAcentral
GAUGAACGCUGGCGGCGUGCCUAACACAUGCAAGUCGAACGGAGAUUUGACGCUGCAGAGACUUCGGUCAAAGCUUGUUAAAUCUUAGUGGCGGACGGGUGAGUAACGCGUGGGCAACCUGCCUCGUACUGGGGGAUAACAGUUGGAAACGACUGUUAAUACCGCAUAAGCGCACGGUAUCGCAUGAUACAGUGUGAAAAACUCCGGUGGUACGAGAUGGGCCCGCGUCAGAUUAGCCAGUUGGCGGGGUAACGGCCCACCAAAGCGACGAUCUGUAGCCGGACUGAGAGGUCGGACGGCCACAUUGGGACUGAGACACGGCCCAAACUCCUACGGGAGGCAGCAGUGGGGGAUAUUGCACAAUGGGCGAAAGCCUGAUGCAGCGACGCCGCGUGAGUGAAGAAGUAUUUCGGUAUGUAAAGCUCUAUCAGCAGGGAAGAAAGGCUCGUAAGAGAGAUGAC